Molecule: long non-coding RNA, 1869 nt
Organism: Lycium barbarum (goji berry)
Lineage: Eukaryota; Viridiplantae; Streptophyta; Magnoliopsida; Solanales; Solanaceae
Exons: 4
Source: RefSeq, a predicted model, not a curated record
GAAAAAUCGGACUAUUCGGGGAGAGCUGGAGUGGGUAAAACAGUACUCAUUUCAAUUACAACUCAGUUGUGUACAUCUCUUGGUGAAACGUGUGAUACAACUGGUUCUACUCUCUUUUCACUUUGAGAAAGCUUCUUCCAUGCCUCUAACCUCUCUCCGGCAAAAAUUAACAUAUUUGCAUGAAGCUCUGGUCUAUACUAUACCUUCCGUCAAUUGAAGCUGAAUAAUAGUACAUAGAAGUAAAGGCAACGUAACUAGAUCGGUGACAAAGGAUUGGUCGGCAGUUUGCAGUUGAUAAAGGUGCAGGUUUCUGAAGUUGAAAGUCGCUCAAGCGGGGAAAAGGUUACUCUGCUUUGACUAUAACAGAUAAAUUUUUCAUUGAUCAAAAAUCUAAAUGAAGCUUCCCAAUUGCUUUCGAUUUUUAUUUAAAGUCUAUCUGGAUACUUCUACGCUUUGUUGAACCAUCUCAAAUUUCUCUUCUUCUCUUUAUGCUAUUGGAGAAAGAUGCAAAUUUCUAUGAGGACUUUGCUAUAAUUCGAGAAUUUUUCUUGCUACUAAAAUUGAGAUGAAUAAAGAAUCAACAACAAAAAGAGUGCAGAAAUUACUGGCAGAAAUGAGUUUUAAGUUCUAACAAAGUGUAAAAUUGUUGUCAGUGUUUCUAACACAGUUGUGGUUGAAUAACUUUUAUGUAUGUUGUUAGCUUUAAAUAUUUCAUAUAUUCAUAUGAACUAGGUUCGAUUUUCUCUAGGCUGAAAUCUGGUAAAUUAUAAUACUCGCAUUGUUAUAACGUUUGUGAUUCUGUUUCCUCGUGCUACCAAUGGAUCUCUAGAAGGUGGAAUAAUCGGCGUGUGAAGCUAUAUUUAGGAGUGUACUAUUUCAUUGUUUAGAGUUUUGAUUUAGUUAGUAUUUCUUUUGGAAUUGGCUGAAUUAGGGAAUUGAUUCAUGAAAGUUAAUGUUAUCUAAUUAAUGCUACUGGUACUGCUUUCUUAUUUGGAAUUGGAGUACUAAUUUAUGAAAUCUAUUUCUCAUCAAUUUUUGAAAUACAAUUACUCCAACAAAGACUUAAUUAAAACACUUUAUCCCUUACAAAGGGAAUGUAACAACCAGUCUUUUCCCUUAUUCUUUUGGAAUAAAGUGAAUACUAAUUGUUACAUGUUGGCAGAUUUGAUCAAUUUAAUUGAGUUGUGAUAGGGAUUAACUUUGAGGAUGAGGGUAAGAAGGUGAAUUUCCCAGUUGAUAAAAUUGAGGCUUGACUUGGUCACCAUAAUGAGGUAACUUUUGCCUUCCCUUUGGUGAUGAUCUAGGAUAGUGAUACAUUUUUUUCCUUUCCUUUCUCUACAGAUCUCAUUGACAUCCAGUCUUAAUCCAAGAGAGUAGAGGUCUUAAGAGAAAGGUACAAGCUAUAAUCCUUAAGAUUCAGAAUAAUGCAAAUGAGACCAGGAAAGCAAAUCAUGAUCUUUCUCAGAGUAAGCUACUGUGUGUAUGGGAAGUAUUUGAUAGAAGCUAAAAAGAUCUUUCUGCACUUAAGAGAGUUCAAUUUGGAAGCAUUGCAUUUCAGUGGAGACCCAGCUGAGAUAUGUGUUGCCAACAGCUGUUAAAGUCUAGAUUUCACCCAAUUGUAGCAUAGCUCACGCAUAAGUUGGACCACCUACAUGAACAUUGACAAUCUCACUGUUUUUGUCUUUCUAGCAUGAUAUUUUCUUUUCUUUGGAUAAUGUUAUAACACAAUUAGAACCACCAUGAAAUUCCAAUAUUAGAUCUUAUAUGUACAGCGAUGUUGGGGAAAAGCCCGUGCUCAGCACGGGCACAGGCCAUCUAGUAUAUAUAUAUAUAUAUAUAUAUAUAUAGUAGAAUUCGUAUCUUUAUUGA